This 450-nucleotide ribosomal RNA is filed under the name uncultured bacterium. RNAcentral's name for it is "partial 16S ribosomal RNA". It matches the Rfam family "Bacterial small subunit ribosomal RNA", at positions 354 to 796 of the family's 1533-position model. The record is from RNAcentral.
GUGGGGAAUCUUCCGCAAUAGACGAAAGUCUGACGGAGCAACGCCGCGUGAGUGAUGAAGGUCUUCGGAUUGUAAAGCUCUGUUAAUCGGGACGAAAGAGCCUAGUGUGAAUAAUGCUAGGAAGUGACGGUACCGGAAUAGAAAGCCACGGCUAACUACGUGCCAGCAGCCGCGGUAAUACGUAGGUGGCAAGCGUUGUCCGGAAUUAUUGGGCGUAAAGCGCGCGUAGGCGGAUCUGCCAGUCUGUCUUAAAAGUUCGGGGCUUAACCCCGUGAUGGGAUGGAAACUACAGAUCUAGAGUAUCGGAGAGGAAAGUGGAAUUCCUAGUGUAGCGGUGAAAUGCGUAGAUAUUAGGAAGAACACCAGUGGCGAAGGCGACUUUCUGGACGAAAACUGACGCUGAGGCGCGAAAGCCAGGGGAGCGAACGGGAUUAGAAACCCUGGUAGUCC